RNAcentral lists this unclassified non-coding RNA (184 nucleotides) under uncultured Agaricales. RNAcentral describes it as "sequence contains ITS2". Lineage: Eukaryota; Fungi; Basidiomycota; Agaricomycetes; Agaricales. The record is from RNAcentral.
AAAGUUCUCAACCACUCUGGUUCUUUCUGGUGUGGCUUGGAUUUGAGGGGUUUUUGCAGGCUUUUGAACUGAAGUCGGCUCCCUUGAAAAGGAUUAGUGGUGUCUGAGCAGAAGCCACCAUGGGUGUGAUAACUAUCUAUGCCUUGGUGAAUGCCUGACCACAAAAGCUGUUGUGUUUUGACAA